GACGAACGCUGGCGGCGUGCUUAACACAUGCAAGUCGAACGGAAAGGCCCUGCUUUUGUGGGGUGCUCGAGUGGCGAACGGGUGAGUUACCCGUGAGUACCCUGCCCCUGACUUUGGGAUAACCUCAGGAAACUGGGGCUAUUACCGGAUAGGAGCACUUGCCGCUUGGUGGGGGUUGGAAUGUUUCGGCGGUUGGGGAUGGUCUGGCGGCUUCUCAGCUUGUUGGUGGAGUAGUUGUUUACCAAGGCUUGGACGGGUAGCCGGCCGGACAGGGAGACCGGCCACAUAGAGAGUGAGAGACGGCCGAGACAACUUCGGGCGGGAGGAGUGGGUAAUGAUGCACGAGGAGCGGAAGCCUGAUGCAGCAACGCCGGGUGCGUGAAGGCGGCAGUCGGGUUGUAAGCCGCUUUCUCCUGUGACGAAGCGUGAGUGACGGAAAUGGAGAAGAAGCACCGGCUAACUACGUG
RNAcentral lists this ribosomal RNA (467 nucleotides) under uncultured bacterium. Its description in RNAcentral is "partial 16S ribosomal RNA". It matches the Rfam family "Bacterial small subunit ribosomal RNA", at positions 28 to 507 of the family's 1533-position model. The record is from RNAcentral.